UACGAGUUUGAUCCUGGCUCAGAACGAACGCUGGCGGCAGGCUUAACACAUGCAAGUCGAACGAGAUCUUCGGAUCUAGUGGCGCACGGGUGAGUAACGCGUGGGAAUCUACCUUGGAGUCUGGGAUAACAGUUGGAAACGACUGCUAAUACCGGAUACGCCCUUAGGGGAAGUUUACUGCUCCGAGAUGAGCCCGCGUCCAAUUAGGUAGUUGGUGAGGUAAAGGCUCACCAAGCCGACGAUUGGUAGCUGGUCUGAGAGGAUGACCAGCCACACUGGGACUGAGACACGGCCCAGACUCCUACGGGAGGCAGCAGUGGGGAAUAUUGGACAAUGGGGGCAACCCUGAUCCAGCCAUGCCGCGUGAGUGAUGAAGGCCUUAGGGUUGUAAAGCUCUUUCGCCGGUGACGAUGAUGACGGUAACCGGAGAAGAAGCCCCGGCUAACUUCGUG
This 452-nucleotide ribosomal RNA is filed under the name uncultured bacterium. RNAcentral describes it as "bacterial SSU rRNA". It matches the Rfam family "Bacterial small subunit ribosomal RNA", at positions 1 to 507 of the family's 1533-position model. The record is from RNAcentral.